RNAcentral lists this ribosomal RNA (726 nucleotides) under uncultured bacterium. RNAcentral describes it as "bacterial SSU rRNA". It matches the Rfam family "Bacterial small subunit ribosomal RNA", at positions 94 to 823 of the family's 1533-position model. The record is from RNAcentral.
AGCGGCGAACGGGUGAGUAACACGUAGGUGAUCUGCCCAUCAGACGGGGACAACGAUUGGAAACGAUCGCUAAUACCGGAUAGGACGAAAGUUUAAAGGUGCUUCUGGCACCGCUGAUGGAUGAGCCUGCGGCGCAUUAGCUAGUUGGUUGGGUAAAGGCCUACCAAGGCGACGAUGCGUAGCCGACCUGAGAGGGUGAACGGCCACACUGGGACUGAGACACGGCCCAGACUCCUACGGGAGGCAGCAGUAGGGAAUCUUCGGCAAUGGGCGAAAGCCUGACCGAGCAACGCCGCGUGAAUGAUGAAGGCCUUCGGGUUGUAAAAUUCUGUUAUAAGGGAAGAACGACUUUAGUAGGAAAUGGCUAGAGUGUGACGGUACCUUAUGAGAAAGCCACGGCUAACUACGUGCCAGCAGCCGCGGUAAUACGUAGGUGGCGAGCGUUAUCCGGAAUUAUUGGGCGUAAAGAGCGCGCAGGUGGUUGAUUGAGUCUGAUGUGAAAGCCCACGGCUUAACCGUGGAGGGUCAUUGGAAACUGGUCGACUUGAAUGCAGAAGAGGGAAGUGGAAUUCCAUGUGUAGCGGUGAAAUGCGUAGAGAUAUGGAGGAACACCAGUGGCGAAGGCGGCUUCCUGGUCUGUAACUGACACUGAGGCGCGAAAGCGUGGGGAGCAAACAGGAUUAGAUACCCUGGUAGUCCACGCCGUAAACGAUGAGUGCUAAGUGU